RNAcentral lists this ribosomal RNA (502 nucleotides) under uncultured Polaribacter sp. Its description in RNAcentral is "bacterial SSU rRNA". It matches the Rfam family "Bacterial small subunit ribosomal RNA", at positions 73 to 573 of the family's 1533-position model. Lineage: Bacteria; Pseudomonadati; Bacteroidota; Flavobacteriia; Flavobacteriales; Flavobacteriaceae. The record is from RNAcentral.
AUUGUGCUUGCACAGAUGACGACCGGCGCACGGGUGCGUAACGCGUAUAGAACCUACCUUUUACAGAGGAAUAGCCUUUAGAAAUGAAGAUUAAUGCCUCAUAGUAUUGUAGACUGGCAUCAGUUUAUAAUUAAAGAUUUAUCGGUAAAAGAUGGCUAUGCGUCCUAUUAGUUAGUUGGUAAGGUAACGGCUUACCAAGACAGCGAUAGGUAGGGGUCCUGAGAGGGAGAUCCCCCACACUGGUACUGAGACACGGACCAGACUCCUACGGGAGGCAGCAGUGAGGAAUAUUGGACAAUGGAGGAGACUCUGAUCCAGCCAUGCCGCGUGUAGGAAGAAUGCCCUAUGGGUUGUAAACUACUUUUAUACAGGAAGAAACACUGGUAUGUAUACCAGCUUGACGGUACUGUAAGAAUAAGGACCGGCUAACUCCGUGCCAGCAGCCGCGGUAAUACGGAGGGUCCGAGCGUUAUCCGGAAUCAUUGGGUUUAAAGGGUCCGCA